UACGGGGGGGGCAAGCGUUGUUCGGAAUUACUGGGCGUAAAGGGCUUGUAGGUGGCCAACUAAGUCAGACGUGAAAUCCCUCGGCUUAACCGGGGAACUGCGUCUGAUACUGGAUGGCUGGAGUGUGGGAGAGGGAUGCGGAAUUCCAGGUGUAGCGGUGAAAUGCGCAGAUAUCAGGAGGAACACCGGUGGCGAAGGCGGGUCUCUGGGCCGAUACUGACGCUGAGGAGCGAAAGCGUGGGGAGCGAACAGG
RNAcentral lists this ribosomal RNA (253 nucleotides) under uncultured bacterium. RNAcentral's name for it is "partial 16S ribosomal RNA". It matches the Rfam family "Bacterial small subunit ribosomal RNA", at positions 524 to 776 of the family's 1533-position model. The record is from RNAcentral.